ACAAAAGGGAUUGUAAAAUGCGCGGGGGCGGGCGCAAGCCCGUUUUCGACGCUACAUCCCGAAAAUCCUGUAUUCACCCCAAGUUCCUUUCAAAAUUUAUACGAAAAUAAAACCUGCAAAAAAAGACCACCUCUGUUUUUGGUGGCGCUUAAUGCAAAAACGCGA
RNAcentral lists this unclassified non-coding RNA (165 nucleotides) under uncultured fungus. RNAcentral describes it as "sequence contains ITS1". Lineage: Eukaryota; Fungi. The record is from RNAcentral.